This is a long non-coding RNA of Heterocephalus glaber (naked mole-rat), 723 nucleotides long. The record is from Ensembl. Lineage: Eukaryota; Metazoa; Chordata; Mammalia; Rodentia; Bathyergidae.
UCCAGGUUGGAUGCGUUGUGGUGUUGUAAAUCUUUCAAAUUAGUUGUUAAUAUAUUUUAAAGUAUUUCACUUCCUGAAACACAGAGACUCACAUGUAUUUCUGGCUGCCCUGGAAAGUUGGGCAACUUGGCACCACGAAGUCCAGAGUGCCUGGGUUUCAUGGUCUCAGGGCAGCAGCUGCCACUGUCGUGCCCUCUGUACAGACCAAGCCCUCUCCGAUGUCUUCCUUUAUUUAUUUUAAAUGCAUGGCUCCUGUCCACACAAUGGCCACUUCCUUCCAUUUAUAGAUAUGGGACUUGAACCAGCCAUGACUUCAUGAUGCUGACAGAUCACAAGAGUACAGUGAAAAUGCUGGGUUGAGGACUGGUCCUCCUGUCUUGGUUCCUUCAUGCUUCCUCUCCUCAGGCCUAGGACUAAAAAAUCCUUUGGGGAAAGUCACGUGUUAUAUUGAAUGUGGCUGAUACAAAGAUACUUUUCAAGUAAGCUAAUACUUAUGGCAUUAACACGUGAGUCAGCAAUUAAAUAUACUUUUGUAGGGUGUUGCAAGGCAGCAGUUCACUAAGAGAAAGCAGUGCUAUAUUCUUAAGCAGUAUUUUAGUUAAAACAUCACACACACACACACACACACACACACACACAUCAGAACAACCCAGAAAUGCUAGCAAAUUCAGAUGUUCCAUUUUAUCUUUAGAUAUAUUUCCAUACUUAUGCCCAAAACCUCAC